Molecule: ribosomal RNA, 673 nt
Filed under: Escherichia coli
Lineage: Bacteria; Pseudomonadati; Pseudomonadota; Gammaproteobacteria; Enterobacterales; Enterobacteriaceae
Description: partial 23S ribosomal RNA
Rfam family: Bacterial large subunit ribosomal RNA
Source: RNAcentral
GAGCCUUGAUGUGUAGGAUAGGUGGGAGGCUUUGAAGUGUGGACGCCAGUCUGCAUGGAGCCGACCUUGAAAUACCACCCUUUAAUGUUUGAUGUUCUAACGUUGACCCGUAAUCCGGGUUGCGGACAGUGUCUGGUGGGUAGUUUGACUGGGGCGGUCUCCUCCUAAAGAGUAACGGAGGAGCACGAAGGUUGGCUAAUCCUGGUCGGACAUCAGGAGGUUAGUGCAAUGGCAUAAGCCAGCUUGACUGCGAGCGUGACGGCGCGAGCAGGUGCGAAAGCAGGUCAUAGUGAUCCGGUGGUUCUGAAUGGAAGGGCCAUCGCUCAACGGAUAAAAGGUACUCCGGGGAUAACAGGCUGAUACCGCCCAAGAGUUCAUAUCGACGGCGGUGUUUGGCACCUCGAUGUCGGCUCAUCACAUCCUGGGGCUGAAGUAGGUCCCAAGGGUAUGGCUGUUCGCCAUUUAAAGUGGUACGCGAGCUGGGUUUAGAACGUCGUGAGACAGUUCGGUCCCUAUCUGCCGUGGGCGCUGGAGAACUGAGGGGGGCUGCUCCUAGUACGAGAGGACCGGAGUGGACGCAUCACUGGUGUUCGGGUUGUCAUGCCAAUGGCACUGCCCGGUAGCUAAAUGCGGAAGAGAUAAGUGCUGAAAGCAUCUAAGCACGAAACUUGCC